AACGAACGCUGGCGGCAUGCCUAACACAUGCAAGUCGAACGAGACCUUCGGGUCUAGUUGCGCACGGGUGCGUAACGCGUGGGAACCUGCCCUUAGGUUCGGAAUAACUCCCCUAAAGGGGUGCUAAUACCGGAUAAUGUCUUCGUACUAAAGAUUUAUCGCCUUUGGAUGGGCCCGCGUUGGAUUAGCUAGUUGGUAGGGUAAAAGCCUACCAAGGCGACGAUCCAUAGCUGGUCUGAGAGGAUGAUCAGCCACACUGGGACUGAGACACGGCCCAGACUGCUACGGGAAGCAGCAGAGGGGAAUAUUAGACAAUGGGCGAAAGCCUGAUCCAGCAAUGCCGCGUGAGUGAUGAAGGCCUUAGGGUUGUAAAGCUCUUUUACCCGGGAUGAUAAUGACAGUACCGGGAGAAUAAGCACCGGCUAACUCCGUG
This 433-nucleotide ribosomal RNA is filed under the name uncultured bacterium. RNAcentral's name for it is "partial 16S ribosomal RNA". It matches the Rfam family "Bacterial small subunit ribosomal RNA", at positions 29 to 507 of the family's 1533-position model. The record is from RNAcentral.